AUUGAACGCUGGCGGCAUGCCUUACACAUGCAAGUCGAACGGCAGCACGGGUGCUUGCACCUGGUGGCGAGUGGCGAACGGGUGAGUAAUACAUCGGAACGUACCUUAUCGUGGGGGAUAACGCAGCGAAAGCUGUGCUAAUACCGCAUACGCCCUGAGGGGGAAAGCGGGGGAUCGCAAGACCUCGCGCGAUUAGAGCGGCCGAUGCCUGAUUAGCUUGUUGGUGGGGUAAAAGCCCACCAAGGCGACGAUCAGUGGCUGGUCUGAGAGGACGAUCAGCCACACUGGGACUGAGACACGGCCCAGACUCCUACGGGAGGCAGCAGUGGGGAAUUUUGGACAGUGGGGGCAACCCUGAUCCAGCAAUGCCGCGUGAGUGAAGAAGGCCUUCGGGUUGUAAAGCUCUUUUGUCAGGGAAGAAACACCGGCUCUAACACAGUCCGGGAAUGACGGUACCUGAAGAAUAAGCACCGGCUAACUACGUGCCAGCCGCCGCUGUAA
Molecule: ribosomal RNA, 501 nt
Filed under: uncultured bacterium
Lineage: Bacteria
Description: partial 16S ribosomal RNA
Rfam family: Bacterial small subunit ribosomal RNA
Source: RNAcentral